This 650-nucleotide ribosomal RNA is filed under the name Vibrio parahaemolyticus. RNAcentral describes it as "partial 23S ribosomal RNA". It matches the Rfam family "Bacterial large subunit ribosomal RNA", at positions 80 to 784 of the family's 2925-position model. The record is from RNAcentral. Lineage: Bacteria; Pseudomonadati; Pseudomonadota; Gammaproteobacteria; Vibrionales; Vibrionaceae.
GAUUAGGUAGUAACAACCAUUUGAGUCUGGGAUUUCUGAAUGGGGAAACCCACUUACAUAAGUAAGUAUCAUUAACUGAAUACAUAGGUUAAUGAGGCGAACCGGGGGAACUGAAACAUCUAAGUACCCCGAGGAAAAGAAAUCAACCGAGAUUCCGAAAGUAGCGGCGAGCGAAAUUGGACUAGCCCUUAAGCUUUACACGCGUUAGACGAACGGUCUGGAAAGUCCGACGAUACAGGGUGAUAGUCCCGUAGUUGACGACGUGUGUUCAGUGAAAUCGAGUAGGGCGGGACACGUGAUAUCCUGUCUGAAUAUGGGGGGACCAUCCUCCAAGGCUAAAUACUACUGACUGACCGAUAGUGAACCAGUACCGUGAGGGAAAGGCGAAAAGAACCCCUGUGAGGGGAGUGAAAUAGAACCUGAAACCGUGUACGUACAAGCAGUAGGAGCAGGCUUGUCCUGUGACUGCGUACCUUUUGUAUAAUGGGUCAGCGACUUAUAUUCAGUGGCAAGGUUAACCAUCUAGGGGAGCCGUAGGGAAACCGAGUCUUAACUGGGCGUUCAGUCUCUGGAUAUAGACCCGAAACCAGGUGAUCUAGCCAUGGGCAGGUUGAAGGUUGAGUAACAUCAACUGGAGGACCGAACCGACU